UUCAGCUUCUAAGAAGGCGUAGGUGUUGACAGCCUGGGAGAAAUUACUGGCGUCAGUGAUGCUUUGUUACAGGCUGGCUGAACAAACACAGACCCUGACCGUUGAGACUGCGUCAAGGCUUCUCUGCCGCUUAUUGUAAGAGAAGCCUAAGUGGGAGAUGGGUGCCAAAACACCACGGAGGAUUUCAACUGCAGAGGAGAGCUCAGUGCCUGCAGAGGCUGUUCAGGAUGGAAAAGGCUCCUCGAGUGUUUGCUGCUGUGUGUGGUUGUGCUGUGUGUGCCCCUGUCCUGGCUCCCAGGUGUUGAGGAUCUGGGGGCAUUCAGCAUCAGCUGUGCAUCCAGAAGAUUGCUGGCUUGUUCCCAGAGAUCUGAAAUCCCAUUCUUCUCUCUCUUUUAAUGAAGCUUGGAGUCACCAGUGUUGCACCCAUUCAGGGAUGCAAAUUCCCUUUGUCUUUAUAAGGUGA
This 463-nucleotide long non-coding RNA is filed under the name Anas platyrhynchos platyrhynchos (common mallard). RNAcentral describes it as "lncRNA (ENSAPLG00000027261.1)". The record is from RNAcentral. Lineage: Eukaryota; Metazoa; Chordata; Aves; Anseriformes; Anatidae.